Molecule: ribosomal RNA, 306 nt
Filed under: Triticum aestivum (bread wheat)
Lineage: Eukaryota; Viridiplantae; Streptophyta; Magnoliopsida; Poales; Poaceae
Description: partial small subunit ribosomal RNA
Source: RNAcentral
AUGGAGAAUGCUUUGUUGAAGCUUUGGUCAAUGGUUGAAGAGAGAAAGUGUGCUAGGGUGAAUGAUAAUCUUGAAAGUGCUUUAACUAUUCACCAGUUGACAGAAGAAAAGUACAAGCUGGAUGCAGACUAUGACAAGUUAGUGAAAGAUGUGCAUCAACUUGUGGAUAUGCAGGAGGAUAGGGUCGUGGAUUUCAGUUAUCUGCAGUCCAACAUCACAUAUCAGCAGCAAUGUAGAGUUGAAUUGGUUGCUGGUAUGAAGGCAGAAAUGGCAAAGAAAGAUGCAGCUAUAGAGAAGCUUCAAUAG